Molecule: unclassified non-coding RNA, 742 nt
Filed under: Leishmania donovani
Lineage: Eukaryota; Euglenozoa; Kinetoplastea; Trypanosomatida; Trypanosomatidae
Description: gene:unknown
Source: RNAcentral
UACCACAGCUUGCCAUGAUCUCUAGGUAUGUGCUGACGUGUGUGUGUGUGUGUGCGUCGACGAUCCACACCAACACCCUCCUCCAAGAGGAGUACCAUUGCCUCACGGAUAUCAUAUGAAGCGACUUCCACCGCCACGUGCUGCCGUUCCUCCCACCCGCUCACCCCCUCCACCUCGUCUUGCACACCGAGUCACAGACGCGACUGGUUCGCUUAGCCAAGAGAACAACAAGAGCGAAGAAACAACGAGAAAACCGAAGGGAAAACGGCAAACAAAGACGUGCACUUGAUAUCCCCCCCUCCCCUCUGAUCUGCUCUGCUCUGCUCGCCCGCCCCUGCCCGGUCUUUACGCACCCGCUCUGCGCUCGUCUCCUCGAAAGCGAACACAAAACAAGAAGAGAGAAACGAGGGAGCGACACAUGCAACAUCUGCAACAAUAGGACGACGCAUGACAUGAUGUGCGUGAGUGUGGGUAGCACUCGUCGUGGUGGGGCUCAUCCCUCCUCCUGUGUAUGCAUGCAUAUUGUGAUGGUUGUCUUUCUCGCUUUGCGUGUGUGUGUGUGUGUGUGUGCUUGUGGGUAGGCGUGUGCGCAUUAUGUCUGGGGCCUCACACGCUCCUCUCUCGUCUCGCCUGCUUCCACUUCCUCUUGUUUUUCCGCCUUUCCACCCACGCCACUCUCUCUCUCUCUCGCCCUCUCUCCCCCAUCAUCUUAUAUAUAUACAUCCAUCUCUCUUAUCGAGAG